Molecule: unclassified non-coding RNA, 198 nt
Filed under: uncultured Tuber
Lineage: Eukaryota; Fungi; Ascomycota; Pezizomycetes; Pezizales; Tuberaceae
Description: sequence contains ITS2
Source: RNAcentral
CAAACCCACUCAUAAAUAUUAUGGUAUUGAUGGAAGUGAACGGAACCAAUCUAUGUGUUCAGGUCAUCCCAUCGAAAUGUAUAAGCAGGACAAUCAACCUGUGCAAUAGACUUAGUAACUGUCUUGAAGACAUAAACCAGUUUGUUGCUUGGUUUUGACUUAGCUUCCAUGGACCUCCAUCCAAGAUAAUAAACUCUG